UGCUGGCCAGGGAUAUAUUCACCAAGGGCUACGGCUUUGGCUUAACAAAACUUGAUUUGAAAGCAAAGUCCGAGAAUGGAUUGAAAUUUACCAGCUCAGGCUCUGCCAACACAGAGACCACCAGAGUGAACGGCAGUCUGGAAACCAAGGACAGAUGAAUUAAGUAUGGCUAGCAUGUUAGACGGACCGAGUAUGGGCUAGCAUUUACGGAGAACUGGAACACAGACAGCACCCUGGGCACUGAGAUCACUGUGCAAGACUAGCUUGCUCGUGGACUGAAGCUGACCUUCGAUUCAUUUUUCUCACGUAACACUGGUGGGGGGGGGGGGGGAUGCUCAAAUCAAGACAGGGUACAAGAAGGAGCACAUCAACCUGGGCUGUGGCAUGGACUUUGACAUCAUUGGGCCCUCAAUCUGGGGCGCUCUGUUGCUUGACUAUGAGGGUUGGCUGGCUGGUUACCAGAUUAAUUUUGAGACCUCAAAGUCCCGAGUGGCCCAGAGCAACUUCACAGUUGGCUACAAGACAGACGAAUUCCAGCUUAGGCUACACGCAGAUCCUAAAACCAGGUAUCAGACUGACACUUUCAGCCCUGCUGGAUGGCAAGAAUGCCAGUGCAGGUGGCCACAAGCUUGGUGUAGGACUGGAAUUUCAA
Molecule: long non-coding RNA, 652 nt
Filed under: Mus musculus (house mouse)
Lineage: Eukaryota; Metazoa; Chordata; Mammalia; Rodentia; Muridae
Description: long non-coding RNA chrX:150688144-150688796
Source: RNAcentral